RNAcentral lists this ribosomal RNA (465 nucleotides) under uncultured bacterium. RNAcentral's name for it is "bacterial SSU rRNA". It matches the Rfam family "Bacterial small subunit ribosomal RNA", at positions 329 to 792 of the family's 1533-position model. The record is from RNAcentral.
CUCCAGACUCCUACGGGAGGCAGCAGUGAGGAAUAUUGGUCAAUGGGCGAGAGCCUGAACCAGCCAAGUCGCGUGAGGGACGACGGCCCUACGGGUUGUAAACCUCUUUUGCCGGGGGACAAACGGCGGCACGCGUGCCGUCCUGAGGGUACCCGGAGAAAAAGCAUCGGCUAACUCCGUGCCAGCAGCCGCGGUAAUACGGAGGAUGCGAGCGUUAUCCGGAUUUAUUGGGUUUAAAGGGUGCGUAGGCGGAUUUUUAAGUCAGCGGUAAAAUGUCCGGGCUCAACCCGGGCCGGCCGUUGAAACUGGGGAUCUUGAGUGGGCGAGAAGUAUGCGGAAUGCGUGGUGUAGCGGUGAAAUGCAUAGAUAUCACGCAGAACUCCGAUUGCGAAGGCAGCAUACCGGCGCCCAACUGACGCUGAAGCACGAAAGCGUGGGUAUCGAACAGGAUUAGAUACCCUAGUA